UCUAGGACUGGGGCUUGAAGUUGGACUUGCCUCCGUUUCCAUUCCUAGGUUCUAGUUUUGGGGCUUUUCAGCUUCUGAACUUGGGGGAAUUUCCCCUUGUGUUCAUGGCCUGAGAAUUUCAAGGUAUUUGUGGCUUUGAGAGUUCAGAUUCAACAGCCCAGUAGCAGCUGGUGUCAGGAAAAUCUUGACAGCUUUCCUUUACUCCAGGCGUUUGCCUCUCAUUUCAACCUGCAGCAGAUGGAAACGGUGGCUGCUGUGAGCCAAGCAUUGAGCUGGGGUCGGGGUAGGGAUACAGUGAUGACUAGAUCCAGUUAUUUUCCUCAAGGAGGGAACAUUCUCCUCUACACUGUUGACCUGAAUCAUUUUCUUCUGUAAUCAGGGAGCUGGUGUUUUUAAUCAUUUUAAUAACAGUAAUAAAAAUGACUGUCAUGUAUUAAACACCUCCUAUUAACCAGGCAUUUGCCUGAGCAAUUUAUAUAUGCUACUUCUUCCCACAAUUUUGGGCCGCAUAUGUUAUUAUCCACAUUUUGUAUAUGAGGAACUAGGCCCAGAGAGGUUAAGGAUCCCACUCAGUCACACAGGCAGCUGGAAACUGACUUCAGAUAUGUUACAUUCCCUUUUUAUAUCUUCUCUGCUAAGGGCCACCUUCCUGUAAAGUACUGGUUUUCUGCAGGGGAAAUGGCGCUUAGAUGGUGGGCUGGAAGAAAUUGUCUCGCUCAAUCCUCUGUAGCUCCUUUCAAAGCCUCCUUUCAGAGCUCCCGUAUUUAGAAACUUCAAGACUUAGGACUUUAUAUAAAUAUAUAUCUUUUGCUUAAGGGUUCUGCGUGUUCCUCUAUGCCUUAUGUGGUUUAGUAGGCUGAUUUUCUCCUUAUGUUGAGAAAUAGCAUAUUUCUUCCAAAAAAUAGCAGAUCUGUUCAUGUUAACGCCCUUGCUUGGAAACCUUUGUUGGCUUCCCCUUACAAGCAAGAGAGGGUUCAGAUCCCUUUGCGUGGGCGAAGGGGCCUUUCACAGCCUAGCUCCUGCUCUCCAUCCUCCUCUCUCACUCCUAAUAUCAGUCAGGAAAGGCUGGGCCUUGCUGCCCUAACAAACAACCCUGUCAUCUCAGUGGCUUACCCCAGGGAAGUUUAUUUCUCAUUCACCGUGGGUCUGCAGGGGAGUUCCAUUUCACCGUGGACUUGGGUUGAAGAAGGCUUCAUCUUGAUGCUUGCUUCUCAUUACUGUCUUGGCUGGGGGAAGUGCAGACAGCAAAUCAUUCACUGGCUCUCAACAUCCACCUGGAAGUGACACACUGCACUCCUGCACGUGCAUCCUUGGCCAGGGCCAUUCACGUGGCCAUGCUUAACUUGAAAUCUCUGUAAUCCUGCCAAGGGUCUUGAAGGGAGAGAGUCAGGAAUAUUUGGGGAACAACACUAAUGACAGGAAUAGUCUCCCCUUCUGUUCACCAAAUGUUUGGCUUACUGUCCUCCCAUGGGCAGAAUUCCCUCACUUUCUCCUCCAGGGGGAUGACCCCAAAGACCCAUCUAAUCAUAGUAUAUCACACUUACUUUCCACAUUCUGAGUGAUGCGAGUAGACUCUGUUUCAGCUCCAGGUAUGUCUCUUCAUCCAAAGACAAGAUGCCUGCCUGGGAUGGCCUCCGUAGGUAACAGUGGGACAGAGACAGGAUAACUGCGGUGGACACACCAAUUGACAGUGAAGGGAUGGGACACCACAGUGGACACUAAUCCACAGAGCAGGCAUGCUGGGGACCCUCCACCCGGCACCCGGAUUAGACCUUGAUUCUGCCCCCUGAGUGUAGCUGCCUGAGCCCUUGUUUCUCAUGACCCCUGGGCUUGCCCUCCGUGUCUUCCUUCUCUGCAUCUAAAGUGGGUACAGCAAAUAGGCGUUUAAAUCAGCUUUUAGAAAUUGUGGGUGGGGUGGGGAAACAGGGUGAUAUUAAGUCUCAAAUAUGGUCUCCCCUAAUCCAGGCUGAUGUUCUUUUGGCAGUAUAACUCUCCCCCAAAUGUAGGUUUCCUAUGUAUUUGAUUCCAGGUGUUCCGUGUGCCAAGAGCCACAGCCAGUUCUUUCCUAGACAUGCCUCUAUGGUUUGCCAUAUUUCUUUGCUUUCUUGCUCUCAUGCCUGCUAAUCUCUCUCUCUCUCUUUCAUAUUGUUAUCAUCCCCACCCUCACCCCCCACCCCCCCCCCUGCCUCUCUCUCUCCCUUUCUCUCCUGCCCUCUCUCUCUCUGGUCUUGACUUGGUUUUGAGUGCUUUGGGCUUAUUGGACUUGGGUGGCAGAGUCAUACUUUUCCUUCCUGUUCCAGAGCCCUUUUCUCUAAUUGAAAGCAUGUGCCGGGUAACGUCUUAAUUUAUCCAGAGGUUUUAACAAUAGGUUUGAGGCCAUUUCUUUGACUGGAGCCAUACUUCAGGGCUGAUUUUAAUUGGUCUCUUCUUGCUGAAAAUCUUUCUUAAUCUGAUAUUUUACUAGUUGAGAUUGAGAAACAACACAUUUCUCUGAAUGUGUAUGUCGUCCCCACUGUCUUUUAUUUCUACUUGCAAACUGGCCAAAUCUUCUCUGAGCUCGUCUCUUUUCUAUAAUAAGUUUCUAAAUCCAAGAGCCACCAACACAUGCUACAGACAUUUUGUCUUACAAUAUUUUGCUUUAGUUCAUUAGGUUCAUUUGGUUCAUUAGGUUCACCUCCUAAAUGAUCACAGGUGAUAAAUUCAUCGGAUAGAUCACCAUCCUUUUACCUUCUGAUAUCAGUGUUCUUUACUGCCCUGUACACAAAUGUUUCUUUUCUUGCUGUUGUUAUUACAUUAUCCCAUGUCAAGGUGCCACUUUUUAUAUCCAUCAGGAUGGGUGAGGUUUGCCACCGUAACAAUCCUAAUAUCUCCUUGGCUUAACCAAAAAUUUUAUUUCUUGCUCAUACUAUAUGUUCAAGGUCAGAGGAGCUUCUCUCGAUAUACUCACUCAGAGACAGUCCGAAGAAGGUUUCAUCCUGAAAUAUGUGUGCUUCCACAAGCAUCCCAACCACCUUGACAAGGAAGAGAAAGCAUGGUGAUUCCAUAAUGGCUUUAGAACUUCCUCCUGGAGGAGCUCCCCUGUGGCUCAGUGGGUUAAGGAUCCAGCGUUGCUGCAAGCUGCCUUGUACUUAACAUAUGCGGCUCAGAUCCUGUGUUGCCGUGGCUGUGGCAUAGGCCAGCAGCUGCAACUCUGAUUCAACCCAUAGCCGGGGAACUUCCAUGUGUCAAGAGCUGGAAAUGCACACCUCUGUAUAGGCCAGGUUACGCUCUGGUAGCAAGCCAAAAAUCUUACUGGAUGACAACCACGGAAUGAUUUCUCACUCGUGUUGCAUGCCUAUUAUGGGUUGGCUGUGUCUCUGCUUCACACAGAUCAUCUUUGCACCAGGGACCUUUUCUGAAACAUUGCUGAUUGUCGUGGCAGGAAAAAAAGAACACUGAGAGCAGUUUAUGUGGCCAAGCCUGUUGUCGGUGGGGGCGGGGCAGCAAGUAUUUGCAAAUAGUAAUACAGUCUACCACACCCUACACUACACAUUCCUUCCAUUCCUAUGAGCCUCAGCUACCUUAAACAUUUUCCAUACCUCUAACAUUUUCCUGUCUUUCCAUUUAUUUCUAUCCUUAGUCAGAAUGCCACCUGGAAAACUCCUACUCACCCUUCAACACCCUGCUCAAAUGAUUGCUCCUCUGAAGCUUGCUGUUACCCUGUCUCCCACCCUCCUCUCAAAUAGUUAUUAUCUUUUUUGGCUCUCACCACACUGGGUACACACCUGAAGCUGAGAACAUUCAUCAUGUGUUCUUACAAAUAUCUCUUUACAACCCUGACUCUGAAUCCAGAAACUGUUUUAUUCGCUUUUGUAUUUUCCAAUGUUUAAUGCAGUGCCUGGCAUGUGGAAAGAUAGAAGGUGCUCAAUAAAUGCUUGUUUGUGGAUUUCUUAAAAAGAGCCUUUUCUCUAGUGGAAUUAGUGGGGUGUUUACUAGUCAAAGAGAAACAGAACUUUUUAAAAUUUAUCUUAUUGAAGUAUAGUUGAUUUACAAUAAUGUGUUAAUUAUAGCAAAAUGAUUCAUAUAUAUAUGCAUCCUUUUUCAUAUUCUUUUCCGUUAUGAUUUAUCAUAUAAUAUUGAAUAUAGUUACCUGUGCUAUACAGUAGGGCUUUGUUUAUCCAUUCUUUUUUUUUUUUUUUAAUUUUCCCACUGUACAGCAAGGGGGUCAGGUUAUCCUUACAUGUAUACAUUGCAAUUACAGUUUUUCCCCCACCCUUUCUUCUGUUGCAACAUGAGUAUCUAGACAUAGUUCUCAAAGUUUAUCCAUUCUAUAUAAUAGUUUACUAAUCUCAAACUUCCAGUCCAUCCCUCCAUCUUUCUCCCCCUUGGCAAUCACAAGUUUGUUCUCUAUGUCUGUGAGUCUGUUUCUGUUUUGUAGAUAAGUUCAUUUGUGUCAUAAUUUAGAUUCCACAUAUAAGUGGUAUCACAUGGUAUUUGUCUUUCUCUUCUGAUUUACUUCAUUUAGUAUGAUAAUCUCUAGUCCAUUCAUGUUGCUGCAAAAGGCAUUGUUUCAUUAUUUUUUGUGGCUGAGUAAUAUUCCAUUGUGCAUGCAUACGCAUAUGUGUCGUCUUUAUACAUUUAUCUGUUAAUGGACAUUUAGUUUGUCUUCAUAUCUUGAUUAUUGUAAAUAAUGUUGCUGUGAAUGUAGCAGCGUAUGUAUCUUUUUGAAUUAGAAUUUUCUCUGGAUAUAUGCCUGGGCGUGGUAUUAACAGUAACUUGUUUUAUUUUAUUCAUUUUUUUGUUGUUUUUUUUUUGUUUGUUUGUUUUUUAGGGCUGCACUUGUGGCACAUGGAGGUUCCCAGGCUAGGGGUCUAAUCAGGGCUACAGCUGCUGGCCUACGCCAGAGCCACAGCAACGCUAGAUCCAAGCCGAGUCUGCAACUGACACCACAGCUCAUGGCAAUGCCGGAUCCUUAACCCACUGAGUGAGGCCAGGGAUUGAACCCGCAACCUCAUGGUUCCUAGUCAGGUUUGUUUCCACUGUGCCAUGAUGGGAACUCCCCAUUUUCUUUUCUUUUUAAGGCAUAUGGAUGUUCCCAAGCUAGGGGUCAAAUUGGAGCUGCAGCUGAGGCCUCUGUUACAGACACAGCAACACACGAUCCAAGCCACAUCUGAGACCUACACUUGUAGCAAUGCUGGAUCCUUAACCCACUUAGUGAGGCCAGGGAUUAAACCUGCAUCCUCCUACAGACUAUGUCAGGUCCUUAACCCACUGAGCCACAGUGGGAACUCCAAUAACUUGUUUUAAUACAGAAAACUUGGAACAUGUCAAAUCACCCUGCUGAACCCUCUCUAAGCACAUCCUAUUGGACAUGGGCUAAAACCCCAAUUCUUUAUUUUGCCUAUAAGAUCUCACAUGAUCUGAGCUCUCCUACCAGCCUAGGUAGGAUAUUCAGGGUAAUUUUGUUUGUACAUUUCCCCUUACUGUCUGCAGCCACACUGGCUAUGACUGUCUCAGUCAGGAUAGCCUAGGUUUUGCUUU
Molecule: long non-coding RNA, 5520 nt
Filed under: Sus scrofa (pig)
Lineage: Eukaryota; Metazoa; Chordata; Mammalia; Artiodactyla; Suidae
Description: lncRNA (ENSSSCG00050006468.1)
Source: RNAcentral